CCUACGGGAGGCAGCAGUGGGGAAUAUUGCACAAUGGGGGCAACCCUGAUGCAGCGACGCCGCGUGAGUGAAGUCUUAAUUCGUUAUGUAAAGCUCUAUCAGCAGAGAAGAAAAUGACGGUACCUGAGUAAGAAGCCCCGUCUAACUACGUGCCAGCAGCCGCGGUAAUACGUAGGGGGCAAGCGUUAUCCGGAUUUACUGGGUGUAAAGGGAGCGUAGACGGCUGUGCAAGUCUGGAGUGAAAGGCUGGGGCUCAACCCCCGGACUGCUCUUGAAACUGUACGGCUGGAGUGCAGGUGAGGUAAGUGGAAUUCGUAGUGUAGCGGUGAAAUGCGUAGAUAUUACGAGGAACACCAGUGGCGAAGGCGGCUUACUGGACUGUAACUGACGUUGAGGCUCGAAAGCGUGGGGAUCAAACAGGAUUAGAUACCCGAGUAGUC
RNAcentral lists this ribosomal RNA (440 nucleotides) under uncultured bacterium. RNAcentral describes it as "partial 16S ribosomal RNA". It matches the Rfam family "Bacterial small subunit ribosomal RNA", at positions 338 to 795 of the family's 1533-position model. The record is from RNAcentral.